GAGGCUAAACAAUAAGAUGAACUCAAAUUUAAAUAUUUAUCAAACUAAACUAAUACAAACUAUGUACGUUGGGUUAAAUAUUUUUUCUUUAUCUAUAAAAUUCUAAGGGUUUCGCAUCAACAAAAAAAAGUAUUUGAUUUGCGGAUUCAAGACGUUGCCACCCGAUUGCAUUCAAGGAAGAAAUAGCGUCAAUCCUUGCAUUCAAGAAUUUAAAUGCACCAUGUAAAUUCAAAAGAAACAACAAUAAGCACAAAAAAGGAUGAGCAAACCCAAGAAAAACUAUAAUACAAAGAUGCAAGUUUAAUUUGUAAAAAUAUUAAUAAAAUUUUAUGAAGAAAAAAUAAUAUCUUGAUAAUUCUUCUACACAAAUUUUUAACAAAUAACAAAAUGUAAAUACUCAAAGCAACAACACAAGGACACAAACCUGUAAACUUUUUAGAAAGCUUCUUAAAAAAUCUUCAUCCCAACAUUACAUCCUUGUAAUUUUCAAGUUUUCACGCAAUAUUUAUAUAUAAAAUAUAAGACACAAUAUUUAUCAAAUUAUUGGAUAACCCAUAAAAGUUAACCCAUAAUCUAAGUCGCAUAUAUAUAAGAAGAUUUAAAAACCUUAAAAUAUAGAGAUAUGAAUAUAAUUCGGAAGAAAGAAGGCACUGAUCUAACAAUGGUUGAAGAAGAAAAUAAGAAAGCGGGAGGAGGGAGGAGGGAGAGGCGGCUGAGAGGGAGAGGAUUUGAGGUGGAAAUUAGGUUUUGGUUUGGC
RNAcentral lists this long non-coding RNA (757 nucleotides) under Nicotiana benthamiana. RNAcentral describes it as "long non-coding RNA (NBEN_LNC011944)". The record is from RNAcentral. Lineage: Eukaryota; Viridiplantae; Streptophyta; Magnoliopsida; Solanales; Solanaceae.